RNAcentral lists this ribosomal RNA (352 nucleotides) under uncultured bacterium. RNAcentral's name for it is "bacterial SSU rRNA". It matches the Rfam family "Bacterial small subunit ribosomal RNA", at positions 917 to 1271 of the family's 1533-position model. The record is from RNAcentral.
GGGCCCGCACAAGCGGUGGAGCAUGUGGUUUAAUUCGAUGAUACGCGAGGAACCUUACCAGGACUUAAAUGCAUAACGAUCGGUUGAGAAAUCAACUUUUCUUCGGACGGUAUGCAAGGUGCUGCAUGGUUGUCGUCAGCUCGUGCCGUGAGGUGUCAGGUUAAGUCCUAUAACGAGCGCAACCCCUAUUCUUAGUUGCCAGCGGAUAAUGCCGGGGACUCUAAGAAAACUGCCAGCGCAAGCUGUGAGGAAGGUGGGGAUGACGUCAAAUCAUCACGGCCCUUACGUCCUGGGCCACACACGUGCUACAAUGGUAGGUACAAAGGGCAGCCACUUGGCGACAAGGAGCUAA